GAUGAACGCUGGCGGCGUGCCUAAUACAUGCAAGUCGAGCGAACAGACGAGGAGCUUGCUCCUCUGACGUUAGCGGCGGACGGGUGAGUAAAACGUGGAUAACCUACCUAUAAGACUGGGAUAACUUCGGGAAACCGGAGCUAAUACCGGAUAAUAUAUUGAACCGCAUGGUUCAAUAGUGAAAGACGGUUUUGCUGUCACUUAUAGAUGGAUCCGCGCCGCAUGAGCUAGUUGGUAAGGUAACGGCUUACCAAGGCAACGAUGCGUAGCCGACCUGAGAGGGUGAUCGGCCACACUGGAACUGAGCCACGGUCCAGACCCCCACGGGAGGCAGCAGUAGGGAAUCUUCCGCAAAGGGCGAAAGCCUGACGGAGCAACGCCGCGUGCGUGAUGAAGGUCUUCGGAUCGUAAGACUCUGUUAUUAGGGAAGAACAAAUGUGUAAGUAACUAUGCACGUCUUGACGGUACCUAAUCAGAAAGCCACGGCUAACUACGUG
Molecule: ribosomal RNA, 497 nt
Filed under: uncultured bacterium
Lineage: Bacteria
Description: partial 16S ribosomal RNA
Rfam family: Bacterial small subunit ribosomal RNA
Source: RNAcentral